GGUAAUAUGACUGAUAAAAGUGAUAAAUUGUAAAUUUAUUUAUAAAUUGAAAAAAAUUUUAUUGCCA
RNAcentral lists this transfer RNA (67 nucleotides) under Aoteapsyche colonica. Its description in RNAcentral is "tRNA-Tyr". Lineage: Eukaryota; Metazoa; Arthropoda; Insecta; Trichoptera; Hydropsychidae. The record is from RNAcentral.